Molecule: long non-coding RNA, 650 nt
Organism: Mirounga angustirostris (Northern elephant seal)
Lineage: Eukaryota; Metazoa; Chordata; Mammalia; Carnivora; Phocidae
Exons: 3
Source: RefSeq, a predicted model, not a curated record
CGGGACAGCGUCCUGGCUCCCAGGCCGGGCCACGUGGCUGGCGGCGAGCUCUGGCUCGGCGGGUGUUCUGCCACCGCCCUGAGUGCUGUGGGACUCUGACAGAGGUCAGUAAAGGGCCAAGUUCUCAGCUUGCGCCAGCUGGGAAUUGAUCGGCGACCCCUCCCCCACCGUGCACCCAGGAACUCUCACCCACACCCAGAGUUACUGUCGCAAAAGGAGUUCCGAAGUCACAUGCGUCAUCAGGCAGGCCCUGCCUUUGAUCUUAAAGGUGUGCAUGUUUAAGCGAAUUUGAGGCAUAUUACUGAACCCCCGUCCCCACAAUGGCCACCAGGGUCCUUCUGGAGACAGCCGGAGCUGUCCAUACAACCCUGGCAUCAGGCUCCUGGGCGACGUCCAGCUGAGAGACCAGGCGAGCCACACCUCCUCUCGGUCCUCAGUUUCGCAUCUGUAGAAGGGGGACAAAGAGGACCUACUCCCAAAGCAUUGUGAGGAUUCAGCCAGACGCCUAAUCCCUCAGCCACAAGACUGUCUGGAGAGUCUGAGACAAUGGCAUCUUGGCCAAGAGACCAGGCCAGCAAUGAUUUCGGGAAGGUGGGGGAGGGGACUCCCACUGCCUCCAUUGCCUCCACUCACCAGUGAUGAGGUUGUCC